Long non-coding RNA from Phyllostomus discolor (pale spear-nosed bat), 110 nucleotides. RefSeq lists it as uncharacterized. The record is from RefSeq and is a predicted model, not a curated record. The transcript is spliced from 3 exons. NCBI's taxonomy places the organism in Eukaryota, Metazoa, Chordata, Mammalia, Chiroptera, Phyllostomidae.
AAGAUAUUUCAUGGAGGAAAUACAGAUGGGCAACAGGCUCAUGAAAAGAUGUCCCACAUCACUAAGGAUCAGGAAAAUGCAAAUAAAAACCACAAUGAGAUAUCACCUCA